This 253-nucleotide unclassified non-coding RNA is filed under the name uncultured Caryophanales bacterium. RNAcentral's name for it is "uncultured Bacillales bacterium contains 16S-23S intergenic spacer region". It matches the Rfam family "Bacterial small subunit ribosomal RNA", at positions 524 to 776 of the family's 1533-position model. The record is from RNAcentral. Lineage: Bacteria; Bacillati; Bacillota; Bacilli; Caryophanales.
UACGUAGGUGGCUAGCGUUGUUCGGAAUUACUGGGCGUAAAGCGCUCGCAGGCGGUUCCUCAAGUCUGAUGUGAAAGCCCACGGCUCAACCGUGGAGGGUCAUUGGAAACUGGGGAACUUGAGUGCAGAAGAGGAGAGUGGAAUUCCACGUGUAGCGGUGAAAUGCGUAGAGAUGUGGAGGAACACCAGUAGCGAAGGCGGCUCUCUGGUCUGUAACUGACGCUGAGGAGCGAAAGCGUGGGGAGCAAACAGG